This is a long non-coding RNA of Pipistrellus kuhlii (Kuhl's pipistrelle), 943 nucleotides long. RefSeq lists it as uncharacterized. NCBI's taxonomy places the organism in Eukaryota, Metazoa, Chordata, Mammalia, Chiroptera, Vespertilionidae. The transcript has 2 exons. The record is from RefSeq and is a predicted model, not a curated record.
UCAUGUAGUCCUAAGUUUCUAUGGAAGGAAUUAUAACAAACACCUUACAAGAAAACAUGUAAACAUAUGUAUUAUAUGCAUAAAAAGGACUGGAAACAUCUUAAAAUACUACCCCAUUCUCUCUGAGGGGCAGAACUGGGGAAUUUAUUUCAAUUUCCUGUACACAUUUCUUGAGGAUUUUUAUAGGCUCUGCACAUUUGUGUUCAGGAAGAAAAACACAAACUAUGAGGGUACAUUAUAUUGAGCUACAUUUAGAAAUAAUCAACUUCAAAAGAGAAGUUUAUUUCUUAUAAAUGACCUAGAAUUCUUCCCAUCUGAAAACAGGUGCAGAAAUGGCCACCUCCAAGUGAGUUACAUAAACAUAUUUCUUGAGGGUGUUUUUCUUCCCUCUCAGAUACUUGUUUUUAUUCAAGAAUAUUACAUGGUAAGUGAAAUGCUAACUUCUAUUCCAUUCUUUGCUGGAAGGAAGUGCUUAUUCAUUAAUUGGAAAGAGAAGGAAAGAAACCACAGCUGCCCAACUGGUUACACUAACCACUUUCUGUUUUCAACAUCUUCUGCCAAAAAUAAUGUCUGGCAUUAGGAGGGGGAGAAAAACAAAUACAGUUGGAGAUUUGAGAAAAAUCAAUUCAUUUUAGCAUUGUGUUACUUUUAUGAAGGGAAAAAAACACAACAAACAUCAAAGAAGUGGUUGUGUAUCACAACCCCAGGUAUUAAAAUAUGAAAUGUCUGCUUACUUCAGUUCCUGAGUUUUGCUUUAGCCAAAAGUUAAUUUUCCUGGAGAAUGUAUAAAGACCCUUGGAUUUCUAGAAAACUCUUUAGUGAACGUGUCAUUAUCCUUAACAGGACUCUGAUGGUUCUCUAAACAGUACAUAUGCUUCCUAAAUUACUGUUUUUAUUUUUGUAAGAACAUAUUUUAUGCAUUAAAAAGAAGUGCUUUCAAAUU